AUUGAACGCUGGCGGCAUGCCUUACACAUGCAAGUCGAACGGCAGCGGACCUUCGGGUGCCGGCGAGUGGCGAACGGGUGAGUAAAGUAUCGGAACGUACCUUUCAGUGGGGGAUAACUGUCCGAAAGGACAGCUAAUACCGCAUAUUCUGUGAGCAGGAAAGCAGGGGAUCGCAAGACCUUGCGCUGAUUGAGCGGCCGAUAUCAGAUUAGCUAGUUGGUGAGGUAAAGGCUCACCAAGGCGACGAUCUGUAGCGGGUCUGAGAGGAUGAUCCGCCACACUGGAACUGAGACACGGUCCAGACUCCUACGGGAGGCAGCAGUGGGGAAUUUUGGGACAAUGGGGGCAACCCUGAUCCAGCCAUGCCGCGUGAGUGAAGAAGGUCUUCGGGUUGUAAAGCUCUUUCGGCCGGGAAGAAAUCGCACAGGAUAAUACCCUGUGUGGAUGACGGUACCGGAAUAAGAAGCACCGGCUAACUACGUGCCAGCA
Molecule: ribosomal RNA, 489 nt
Filed under: uncultured bacterium
Lineage: Bacteria
Description: bacterial SSU rRNA
Rfam family: Bacterial small subunit ribosomal RNA
Source: RNAcentral